Molecule: ribosomal RNA, 253 nt
Filed under: uncultured bacterium
Lineage: Bacteria
Description: partial 16S ribosomal RNA
Rfam family: Bacterial small subunit ribosomal RNA
Source: RNAcentral
UACAGAGGGGGCAAGCGUUGUUCGGAAUUACUGGGCGUAAAGGGCGCGUAGGCGGCCACCUAAGUCAGGCGUGAAAGUCCUGGGCUCAACCUGGGAACUGCGCUUGAUACGGCAGAGCUAGAGGAUGGAAGAGGCUCGCGGAAUUCCCAGUGUAGGGGUGAAAUUCGUAGAUAUUGGGAAGAACACCGGUGGCGAAGGCGGCGAGCUGGUCCAUUACUGACGCUGAGGCGCGACAGCGUGGGGAGCAAACAGG